GUGCCAGCAGCCGCGGUAAUACGUAGGGGGCAAGCGUUGUCCGGAAUCAUUGGGCGUAAAGCGCGUGUAGGCGGCUCGAUAAGUCCGUUCUGAAAGUCCAGGGCUCAACCCUGGGAUGCGGAUGGAUACUGUCGAGCUCGAGUCCGGAAGAGGCGAGUGGAAUUCCUGGUGUAGCGGUGAAAUGCGCAGAUAUCAGGAGGAACACCAAUGGCGAAGGCAGCUCGCUGGGACGUGACUGACGCUGAGACGCGAAAGCGUGGGGAGCAAACAGGAUUAGAUACCCUUGUAGUCC
RNAcentral lists this ribosomal RNA (292 nucleotides) under uncultured bacterium. RNAcentral describes it as "partial 16S ribosomal RNA". It matches the Rfam family "Bacterial small subunit ribosomal RNA", at positions 505 to 796 of the family's 1533-position model. The record is from RNAcentral.